Molecule: long non-coding RNA, 1233 nt
Filed under: Parus major (Great Tit)
Lineage: Eukaryota; Metazoa; Chordata; Aves; Passeriformes; Paridae
Description: lncRNA (ENSPMJG00000002741.1)
Source: RNAcentral
AUGUGGCUCAGGCCUGGCACCAGGGGUGAAUCCUAUUUCCCUCAAGGGACAGUAGUAGUUUAUGCAAGAUUCACGUGCAGCAGAAACAAGGUGAGAGAAUGUUGCUCAUAUCACAGCUUAGUUUCUGGUGGCUUUCCCAGAGGAGGACCAAGAUGGAGUAUCUGUGCAUUCACUGGCAUGGAGAACAUUCAGUAUUGCUGUGAGAGAAUGCAGCUGAAGGAACAUCCCUCGGAUUUCCUCUCUGUGCCUGAUUUCCUGGCUGGUUUUAGGAACAGCUGCAAAUGCCUGGAGUACAUUUGAUGCAGGUUUGCAGUAGGAGCCAGGCCAGUUUUCCAACAUCCUGCUGCAUGUUGAACCCAGAAGGGGCUGAGAACAGCAAGAGCCACACAUGGACAUUGCUGGACGCUUUCUCACCCAUGCCAGCCACACCCUGGAAGCAAAUGUAAGUGGGUGCCACCCAGAGCCCUACCUGUAUUUCCCACCCUUUGCUGCCCACUGCCCAUUUCUGUCCUGCUGCUUGUAGCUGGUAGUGUGUGCAAGACUCUUUCUUGUGUUGCUCUUUUAUUCUCUGGGUUUGUGUGCCAAGUGCUGAUGUGUUUUGCCCAAGCCCUGAUGUCUGAAGCUCUGCUGUACCUGGUGGCAUUCCCAUGUCACUGGUGAUGUACACAGCAACUGCCUUUGGCACAAAAAUUGCUUCUCUCUGCAUGAAACUGCAGUAAAACGUGACACCUGAAAGUACUGUGGUCUGUGCAAAACAGAGGGCUAAUGGAAAAGCAUUCCCAAAACAGAGGGUAGACAAAAGUUCAUAUCCAGGAAGAGGAACGAUGAUGACUCUUGCUUCUAUCUGCAAUACAUGAUGGAAGUGUACAGAAAAAGGGUUAAGGGAAGCAGGCUGGAUUCAGCAGGCUGGAAAUGUGGGCAGGGCAUAUGGGUGAAAUGUCCUCCUGGUAUUUUCUGUGAAAAUCUCCUCUCGAGCCUCUCAAGAGAAUGACUUCAGGGAAAUGCUUGAUUAACAGCUCCUGACGUUUCCACCACCACCUUUCACUUCUAGCGUGGGAGGCUCAGGUGUUUCUGGAUAAGACUGCAGAGUUUUCAGAAAUUUAGUAUACUGGGACAGCAGAGACACAGAAGAGACUUGAAAAAGAAUCCUUGAUAUAUCUGGCCCCUUGGAAAGAACUUGUGGGAAAAGGAAUCAUUAAGCCUGUAUUGAAAUAAACCCAGCAUCUGGUACCA